RNAcentral lists this ribosomal RNA (397 nucleotides) under grassland soil clone sl2_701. Its description in RNAcentral is "bacterial SSU rRNA". It matches the Rfam family "Bacterial small subunit ribosomal RNA", at positions 50 to 494 of the family's 1533-position model. The record is from RNAcentral.
AACACAUGCAAGUCGAACGCACCCUUCGGGUGAGUGGCGGACGGGUGAGUAACACGUGGGAACGUACCUUUUGGUUCGGAAUAACGCAGGGAAACUUGUGCUAAUACCGAAUGUGCCCUUCGGGGGAAAGAUUUAUCGCCAUUAGAGCGGCCCGCGUUAGGUUAGCUAGUUGGUGAGGUAAAGGCUCACCAAGGCUACGAUCUAUAGCUGGUCUGAGAGGAUGAUCAGCCACAUUGGGACUGAGACACGGCCCAAACUCCUACGGGAGGCAGCAGUGGGGAAUCUUGCGCAAUGGGCGAAAGCCUGACGCAGCCAUGCCGCGUGAAUGAUGAAGGUCUUAGGAUUGUAAAAUUCUUUCAGUAGGGACGAUAAUGACGGUACCUACAGAAGAAGCCCC